This 279-nucleotide long non-coding RNA is filed under the name Cyanistes caeruleus (blue tit). Its description in RNAcentral is "lncRNA (ENSCCEG00000005715.1)". The record is from RNAcentral. Lineage: Eukaryota; Metazoa; Chordata; Aves; Passeriformes; Paridae.
CGGGAAGGCUGUGGGAAGGGAAUUUAGCAGGGAAGGAAGGAGGGAAAGAUGAAGCAGAGUUGUUUAUUGGGGGUGUGGAAUCCAUGUAAUCCAGGGAUUUGUGAAUACAGAAGGAUUGGGAGUUCCUGGGAAUGGGACAGUUGCUUUCAAGACUCUUCAAGGACAUUGCGUGGCCUGUCUGCUGGGAGUUCCAAGUGUCACUUGUCUCAAUACCUGUGCUUGAACACAUCCCCUGACAUGGAAAUGAUGAGCCACAAACUGCCCCAUCAGUCUGUCUGA